RNAcentral lists this ribosomal RNA (397 nucleotides) under uncultured bacterium. Its description in RNAcentral is "partial 16S ribosomal RNA". It matches the Rfam family "Bacterial small subunit ribosomal RNA", at positions 523 to 918 of the family's 1533-position model. The record is from RNAcentral.
AUACGUAGGUGACAAGCGUUAUCCGGAUUUACUGGGCGUAAAGGGCGUGUAGGCGGUCUUGCAAGUCAGAAGUGAAAUUCCUGAGCUCAACUCGGGCGCUGCUUCUGAAACUGCAGGACUUGAGUGCUGGAGGGGAUAGCGGAAUUCCUAGUGGAGCGGUAAAAUGCGCAGAUAUUAGGAAGAACACCGGUGGCGAAGGCGGCUAUCUGGACAGUAACUGACGCUGAGGCGCGAAAGCGUGGGGAGCAAACAGGAUUAGAUCCCCUGGUAGUCCACGCCGUAAACGAUGAAUACUAGGUGUCGGGUUUCUAUAGAGAUUCGGUGCCGCAGCAAACGCAAUAAGUAUUCCACCUGGGGAGUACGUUCGCAAGAAUGAAACUUAAAGGAAUUGACGGGG